RNAcentral lists this ribosomal RNA (354 nucleotides) under Triticum aestivum (bread wheat). RNAcentral's name for it is "partial small subunit ribosomal RNA". The record is from RNAcentral. Lineage: Eukaryota; Viridiplantae; Streptophyta; Magnoliopsida; Poales; Poaceae.
UGGUUAUACAAUGGUGGUCCUUAUGAGCUAAUUGUUCUACACUUCUUACUUGGUGUAGCUUGUUAUAUGGGUCGUGAGUGGGAACUUAGUUUCCGUCUGGGUAUGCGUCCUUGGAUUGUUGUUGCAUAUUCAGCUCCUGUUGCAGCUGCUACUGCUGUUUUCUUGAUUUACCCUAUUGGUCAAGGAAGCUUUUCUGAUGGUGUAGCUGGUGUAUUCGGCGGUUCCCUAUUCAGUGCUAUGCAUGGUUCCUUGGUAACCUCUAGUUUGGUCAGGGAAACUACUGAAAAUGAAUCUGCUAAUGAGGGUUACAAAUUUGGUCAAGAGGAAGAAACUUAUAAUAUUGUGGCUGCUCAU